GGCAGUCGUGGCCUAAUGGUUAGAGAGUCGGACUUGUAACCCAAAGGUCGUGGGUUCGAGUCUCAGGUCUGGCA
This is a non-coding RNA of Pangasianodon gigas (Mekong giant catfish), 74 nucleotides long. The record is from the annotation of a GenBank genome assembly. Lineage: Eukaryota; Metazoa; Chordata; Actinopteri; Siluriformes; Pangasiidae.